RNAcentral lists this ribosomal RNA (550 nucleotides) under Pseudomonas aeruginosa. Its description in RNAcentral is "bacterial SSU rRNA". It matches the Rfam family "Bacterial small subunit ribosomal RNA", at positions 92 to 638 of the family's 1533-position model. Lineage: Bacteria; Pseudomonadati; Pseudomonadota; Gammaproteobacteria; Pseudomonadales; Pseudomonadaceae. The record is from RNAcentral.
UCAGCGGCGGACGGGUGAGUAAUGCCUAGGAAUCUGCCUGGUAGUGGGGGAUAACGUCCGGAAACGGGCGCUAAUACCGCAUACGUCCUGAGGGAGAAAGUGGGGGAUCUUCGGACCUCACGCUAUCAGAUGAGCCUAGGUCGGAUUAGCUAGUUGGUGGGGUAAAGGCCUACCAAGGCGACGAUCCGUAACUGGUCUGAGAGGAUGAUCAGUCACACUGGAACUGAGACACGGUCCAGACUCCUACGGGAGGCAGCAGUGGGGAAUAUUGGACAAUGGGCGAAAGCCUGAUCCAGCCAUGCCGCGUGUGUGAAGAAGGUCUUCGGAUUGUAAAGCACUUUAAGUUGGGAGGAAGGGCAGUAAGUUAAUACCUUGCUGUUUUGACGUUACCAACAGAAUAAGCACCGGCUAACUUCGUGCCAGCAGCCGCGGUAAUACGAAGGGUGCAAGCGUUAAUCGGAAUUACUGGGCGUAAAGCGCGCGUAGGUGGUUCAGCAAGUUGGAUGUGAAAUCCCCGGGCUCAACCUGGGAACUGCAUCCAAAACUACUG